CAUCGAAUGCUCAAUUGAAGAAUGUGCCUGAAUUGGAAAGGAACGAAAAAUUAUUAGCUACAAUCUAGAACUCUUCUCGAAUAGUUUGGAUUCGUCUACUGCACCCACCGGUAUCGUUAGCUUCACUGAUGAUGAAGAGUAAUACAUUUCCAGAGGUCGGUUCACCCUCCAAAAUUUGUCGUUCACCUGUCGUAAUGUUUGUGAUCCACUGAGAACCACUAGCUGACCUGGGGAUGGGGCUAUGUAGAUACAGAAGUUCAAAUGCCUGUGAGAUUCGGAUAAUUCCGUGUCUAAAUCAAGCGUUAAACGUGUCGCAAGAUAUUUGCUCAGGUGAUCAACUGUGGGAAGAAAAAACAGAUGCAUUGUUCAAGGAAAUGAAGUCAGAAAGUUGGAUGAGGCUUGAAUACCAGUUCAAUUUCAUUCAGCAUAAGGGGUUCUCCAGGACCCUCACCCUCUGUAUCGACCAUAGAAUCUCCUCCUCCUGUCUCAGCCUCUACACUAGAUCCAGCAGAAUCAUUUUCAGAGUUCUGCAAACUUUUUUGACGCUUUGGAGGCUUCGGAAUCUGAUUGAUCGGAUUUGGGGAUGGCGUUGUAGAAUUUCGAGAUGUUGUUCCUACAAACAACAAUACAUAUUGUAUUCAAAUCGAAUACAAAAUACUCAACUCCUUACCAGAGACUGCAGGACUGCUGGCCGGCUGAGAAACGCUAAGGAUUUGGCGUUGUACGCCCACUUGUAUUUCCUGCGCUGUACGAGGAUGCGCCGUUUGCAUUCUCCGAUUCAUUGGCAUUUUUCCGUGAUCUCUGUGGUCUAUUUUGACUCUGAAGUUUUAUGCCUUCUGUGAUGGAGUU
This is a long non-coding RNA of Athalia rosae (coleseed sawfly), 849 nucleotides long. RefSeq lists it as uncharacterized. The transcript has 4 exons. NCBI's taxonomy places the organism in Eukaryota, Metazoa, Arthropoda, Insecta, Hymenoptera, Athaliidae. The record is from RefSeq and is a predicted model, not a curated record.